UCCCCUGGCAAACUUUUGGUCGCUUAAUCUGGGAUAGACACUAGAACUGUCAGCGGAAAAGGUAUACCAAGGAGCACUGCCUAGCAACAAUUGAAUCUAGAUACAGGAAAAAAUAGUUGGGGGCCUGGGGGGAGGAGAGCUUUUGUCUUUUUACUACAGAGGUAGUCAAUGUUGUCGCGUCGUUUGAAAAAACCUGAGACACUGAACUAAGCAGUGCAAUUUUCAGACGUUGCAAGUGGCAUGCAUGCCACUUAAUAGACAUUUCCUCUUGUUUGGUCCCAUCGUGGUCAAGCCUGACAGUUGAUAAUCUUUGUGCACCCUUUGCUUUUGUGAUUA
This is a long non-coding RNA of Lolium rigidum, 336 nucleotides long. RefSeq lists it as uncharacterized. The transcript has 2 exons. Lineage: Eukaryota; Viridiplantae; Streptophyta; Magnoliopsida; Poales; Poaceae. The record is from RefSeq and is a predicted model, not a curated record.